CGUGCAGGAAGACGGCCCUCUGGGUUGUAAACUGCUUUUAUCUGGGAAGAAAAAGUCCAUGCGUGGAAAAUUGCCGGUACCAGAUGAAUAAGCACCGGCUAACUCCGUGCCAGCAGCCGCGGUAAUACGGAGGGUGCAAGCGUUGUCCGGAUUUAUUGGGUUUAAAGGGUGCGUAGGCGGCUGAAUAAGUCAGCGGUGAAAGACUUCGGCUUAACCGGAGCAGUGCCGUUGAUACUGUUUAGCUUGAGUGUUGGAGGGGUACAUGGAAUUGAUGGUGUAGCGGUGAAAUGCAUAGAUACCAUCAGGAACACCGAUAGCGAAGGCAUUGUACUGGCCAACAACUGACGCUGAGGCACGAAAGUGUGGGGAUCGAACAGGAUUAGAUACCCUGGUAGUCCACACCGUAAACGAUGAUUACUCGCUGUUAUGGUGUAUGCUGUAGCGGCCAAGCGAAAGCGUUAAGUAAUCCACCUGGGGAGUACGCCGGCAACGGUGAAACUCAAAUGAAUUGACGGG
RNAcentral lists this ribosomal RNA (516 nucleotides) under uncultured bacterium. RNAcentral's name for it is "bacterial SSU rRNA". It matches the Rfam family "Bacterial small subunit ribosomal RNA", at positions 400 to 917 of the family's 1533-position model. The record is from RNAcentral.